CACGUAGGCGGAGACGUAAGUCAGGAGUGAAAUCCCUCGGCUUAACCGAGGAAUGGCUCUUGAUACUGCGUUUCUCGAGUACGGGAGGGGAGAGUGGAAUUUCCGGUGGAGCGGUGAAAUGCGUAGAUAUCGGGAGGAACGCCGGUGGCGAAAGCGACUCUCUGGCCCCGUCACUGACGCUGAGGUGCGAAAGCUAGGGUAGCGAACG
Molecule: ribosomal RNA, 208 nt
Filed under: uncultured bacterium
Lineage: Bacteria
Description: partial 16S ribosomal RNA
Rfam family: Bacterial small subunit ribosomal RNA
Source: RNAcentral